RNAcentral lists this ribosomal RNA (466 nucleotides) under uncultured bacterium. RNAcentral describes it as "partial 16S ribosomal RNA". It matches the Rfam family "Bacterial small subunit ribosomal RNA", at positions 29 to 507 of the family's 1533-position model. The record is from RNAcentral.
ACGCACGCUGGCGGCGUGCUUAACACAUGCAAGUCGAACGGAAAGGCUCCAGCUUGCUGGCGUACUCGAGUGGCGAUCGGGUGAGUAACACGUGGGUAAUCUGCCCUGCACUCUGGGAUAAGCCUGGGAAACUGGGUCUAAUACUGGAUAUGACCUUUCUCCUUAUGGGGUUUGGUGGAAAGUUUUUCGGUGUAGGAUGAGCCCGCGGCCUAUCAGCUUGUUGGUGGGGUGAUGGCCUACCAAGGCGACGACGGGUAGCCGGCCUGAGAGGGUGAUCGGCCACAUUGGGACUGAGAUACGGCCCAGACUCCUACGGGAGGCAGCAGUGGGGAAUAUUGCACAAUGGGCGGAAGCCUGAUGCAGCGACGCCGCGUGAGGGAUGACGGCCUUCGGGUUGUAAACCUCUUUCAGCAGGGACGAAGCGUAAGUGACGGUACCUGCAGAAGAAGCACCGGCUAACUACGUG